CCUACGGGAGGCAGCAGUGGGGAAUCUUGCGCAAUGGGCGAAAGCCUGACGCAGCCAUGCCGCGUGAAUGAUGAAGGUCUUAGGAUUGUAAAAUUCUUUCACCGGGGACGAUAAUGACGGUACCCGGAGAAGAAGCCCCGGCUAACUUCGUGCCAGCAGCCGCGGUAAUACGAAGGGGGCUAGCGUUGCUCGGAAUUACUGGGCGUAAAGGGAGCGUAGGCGGAUAGUUUAGUCAGAGGUGAAAGCCCAGGGCUCAACCUUGGAAUUGCCUUUGAUACUGGCUAUCUUGAGUUUGGGAGAGGUGAGUGGAACUCCGAGUGUAGAGGUGAAAUUCGUAGAUAUUCGGAAGAACACCAGUGGCGAAGGCGACUCACUGGCCCAAUACUGACGCUGAGGCUCGAAAGCGUGGGGAGCAAACAGGAUUAGAUACCCUGGUAGUCCACGCCGUAAACGAUGAGUGCUAGUUGUCGGCAUGCAUGCAUGUCGGUGACGCAGCUACGACAUAAGACACUCCGCCGUGGGGAGGUACGGUCGCGAGAAUUAAACUACAAUAGAAGUUAGACGGCGUGAGACGUGCCGACGGACGACGACGAGGGAGGUUAGG
Molecule: ribosomal RNA, 604 nt
Filed under: uncultured bacterium
Lineage: Bacteria
Description: bacterial SSU rRNA
Rfam family: Bacterial small subunit ribosomal RNA (bases 1-517)
Source: RNAcentral